AUUGAACGCUGGCGGCAUGCUUUACACAUGCAAGUCGAACGGUAACAGGCCGCAAGGUGCUGACGAGUGGCGAACGGUUGAGUAAUGCAGCGGAACGUGCCCAGUCGUUGGGGAUAACUACUCGAAAGAGUAGCUAAUAGCGCAUACGAUCUAUGGAGGAAAGCGGGGGACCGUAAGGCCUCGCGCGAGUGGGGCGGCCGAUGUCAGAUUAGGUAGUUGGUGGGGUAAAGGCUCACCAAGCCAACGAUCUGUAGCUGGUCUGAGAGGACGACCAGCCACACUGGGACUGAGACACGGCCCAGACUCCUACGGGAGGCAGCAGUGGGGAAUUUUGGACAAUGGGCGCAAGCCUGAUCCAGCAAUGCCGCGUGCAGGAAGAAGGCCUUCGGGUUGUAAACUGCUUUUGUACGGAACGAAACGGCUCUGGUUAAUACCCGGGGCUAAUGACGGUACCGUAAGAAUAAGCACCGGCUAACUACGUG
This 482-nucleotide ribosomal RNA is filed under the name uncultured bacterium. Its description in RNAcentral is "partial 16S ribosomal RNA". It matches the Rfam family "Bacterial small subunit ribosomal RNA", at positions 30 to 507 of the family's 1533-position model. The record is from RNAcentral.